Molecule: ribosomal RNA, 451 nt
Filed under: uncultured bacterium
Lineage: Bacteria
Description: partial 16S ribosomal RNA
Rfam family: Bacterial small subunit ribosomal RNA
Source: RNAcentral
AGCGAACGCUGGCGGCAGGCUUAACACAUGCAAGUCGAGCGGGCAUAGCAAUAUGUCAGCGGCAGACGGGUGAGUAACGCGUGGGAACGUACCUUUUGGUUCGGAACAACUGAGGGAAACUUCAGCUAAUACCGGAUAAGCCCUUACGGGGAAAGAUUUAUCGCCGAAAGAUCGGCCCGCGUCUGAUUAGCUAGUUGGUGAGGUAAUGGCUCACCAAGGCGACGAUCAGUAGCUGGUCUGAGAGGAUGAUCAGCCACAUUGGGACUGAGACACGGCCCAAACUCCUACGGGAGGCAGCAGUGGGGAAUAUUGGACAAUGGGCGCAAGCCUGAUCCAGCCAUGCCGCGUGGGUGAUGAAGGCCCUAGGGUCGUAAAGCUCUUUUGUGCGGGAAGAUAAUGACGGUACCGCAAGAAUAAGCCCCGGCUAACUUCGUGCCAGCAGCCGCCGUAA